ACCUGGCUGGCUCAGUCCGUGGAGCAUGUGACUCUUGAUCUUGUGACUGUGAGUUCAAGCCCCAUGUUGGGCA
RNAcentral lists this transfer RNA (73 nucleotides) under Ailuropoda melanoleuca (giant panda). It matches the Rfam family "tRNA". From Rfam's summary of the family: Transfer RNA (tRNA) molecules are approximately 80 nucleotides in length. Their secondary structure includes four short double-helical elements and three loops (D, anti-codon, and T loops). The record is from Rfam by way of RNAcentral. Lineage: Eukaryota; Metazoa; Chordata; Mammalia; Carnivora; Ursidae.